This 251-nucleotide long non-coding RNA is filed under the name Pan troglodytes (chimpanzee). RNAcentral's name for it is "long non-coding RNA NONPTRT011344". Lineage: Eukaryota; Metazoa; Chordata; Mammalia; Primates; Hominidae. The record is from RNAcentral.
UGGGAGGUGACUCUCUCAGGAGGUUGAAUAGGGUUAGAAAGACGGCAUGACUAUAUCUCUAAUGUAGACCUAAAGUGCUUCCUAGAGCUAGGGACCCGGAUUCUAAAUGAGACCUGAGGGGAUGGAGCUGUUGUUGACAAGAGCUGUUAGACAAACAGGACAUGGAGGAGGAGAGGUCAAAAGUCCGUCUGACUCACCUGUGCUAAGUGACUUGAAUGCCAUCUAAUCUAACUUCAAGGCCCACAUUUACA